UGGGGAAUAUUGGACAAUGGACCGAGAGUCUGAUCCAGCANUUCUGUGUGCACGAUGACGUUUUUCGGAAUGUAAAGUGCCUUCAGUUGGGAAGAAAAAAAUGACGGUACCAACAGAAGAAGUGACGGCUAAAUACGUGCCAGCAGCCGCGGUAAUACGUAUGUCACGAGCGUUAUCCGGAUUUAUUGGGCGUAAAGCGCGUCUAGGUGGUUAUGUAAGUCUGAUGUGAAAAUGCAGGGCUCAACUCUGUAUUGCGUUGGAAACUGUGUAACUAGAGUACUGGAGAGGUAAGCGGAACUACAAGUGUAGAGGUGAAAUUCGUAGAUAUUUGUAGGAAUGCCGAUGGGGAAGCCAGCUUACUGGACAGAUACUGACGCUGAAGCGCGAAAGCGUGGGUAGCAAACAGGAUUAGAUACCCUGGUAGUCCACGCCGUAAACGAUGAUUACUAGGUGUUGGGGGUCGAACCUCAGCGCCCAAGCAAACGCGAUAAGUAAUCCGCCUGGGGAGUACGUGCGCAAGUAUG
RNAcentral lists this ribosomal RNA (524 nucleotides) under uncultured bacterium. RNAcentral describes it as "bacterial SSU rRNA". It matches the Rfam family "Bacterial small subunit ribosomal RNA", at positions 355 to 896 of the family's 1533-position model. The record is from RNAcentral.